CAACCUCCCAUCAGCUGUGGAGCAUCCCCCAUCAGGAGGACCCCUUGUGGGCCAUCUGUUCCUUCUGCCAGGCCCCUGAAUAAAGCCUCCGUCUCCAGCCAUCAGUCGUCAAAAAGCAGCUAGCAUAAAUAACCAGGAUCAGAAUUCCUCGCGCUCUCCCUGCAGAGCCUGGCUUAUUGAAAUGGUCAAGAGUGGAGGUGUGGAAGUGCCAUAGCAGAUGCCAGCAUCUCUACAAGCCAAGAGACAGAUCAUGCAGGAAGUAACCUCACAGUGAAAGAAAGCAUGGAUACUCACAUGACUUGGCACAUCAUCUCAUUGUCAGAGUUCUCAUCAAUCAGUUAUUGCCGUCUUCACAAGCCAAGAGAGAGAGAGACACGCACAGGCUUCAGCUUCUAGAAUUCUCCUCAGGAACCGAGACCUACCCCGCCCUCAUCAGCCUCUUUCACACAGCAGCUGCUGAACUAGUAAUCCUGCAGGAGUUGCCAUUGCUCCCCAUGUUGUUGAUGGAUUGUAUGGAAUAUUUGUUAUGCACUAGCAAAUCUUCUGAAUGUCAUAUAGCUUAUUUAACAUCUAAAAUGCUUGAUCACUCACUUGAACAAUUUAUGUUUCAAAGUUUUAUAAUUGUUGUGAA
Molecule: long non-coding RNA, 631 nt
Organism: Alosa sapidissima (American shad)
Lineage: Eukaryota; Metazoa; Chordata; Actinopteri; Clupeiformes; Clupeidae
Exons: 3
Source: RefSeq, a predicted model, not a curated record